RNAcentral lists this ribosomal RNA (253 nucleotides) under uncultured bacterium. RNAcentral describes it as "partial 16S ribosomal RNA". It matches the Rfam family "Bacterial small subunit ribosomal RNA", at positions 524 to 776 of the family's 1533-position model. The record is from RNAcentral.
CACGUAGGCCCCAAGCGUUGUCCGGAUUUAUUGGGCGUAAAGGGCGCGUAGGCGGGAUGGCAAGUCGGUCGUGAAAUCCCUCGGCUCAACUGAGGAUCGUCGAUCGAUACUGCCGUUCUUGAGGAUUGCAGAGGAGACUGGAAUUCCCGGUGUAGCGGUGAAAUGUGUAGAGAUCGGGAGGAACACCGGUGGCGAAGGCGGGUCUCUGGGCAAUUCCUGACGCUGAGGCGCGAAAGCGUGGGGAGCAAACGGG